GCACAUCUACUCCUACGGGAGGCAGCAGUGGGGAAUAUUGCACAAUGGGCGCAAGCCUGAUGCAGCCAUGCCGCGUGUGUGAAGAAGGCCUUCGGGUUGUAAAGCACUUUCAGCGAGGAGGAAGGUGGUGAGCUUAAUACGCUCAUCAAUUGACGUUACUCGCAGAAGAAGCACCGGCUAACUCCGUGCCAGCAGCCGCGGUAAUUAGACCGU
RNAcentral lists this ribosomal RNA (213 nucleotides) under Serratia sp. Hb-0703. RNAcentral's name for it is "16S ribosomal RNA". It matches the Rfam family "Bacterial small subunit ribosomal RNA", at positions 324 to 533 of the family's 1533-position model. The record is from RNAcentral. Lineage: Bacteria; Pseudomonadati; Pseudomonadota; Gammaproteobacteria; Enterobacterales; Yersiniaceae.